RNAcentral lists this ribosomal RNA (253 nucleotides) under uncultured bacterium. RNAcentral describes it as "partial 16S ribosomal RNA". It matches the Rfam family "Bacterial small subunit ribosomal RNA", at positions 524 to 776 of the family's 1533-position model. The record is from RNAcentral.
UACGUAGGUGACAAGCGUUAUCCGGAAUUACUGGGCGUAAAGCGCACGCAGGCGGCGCAGUAAGUCUGAUGUGAAAUCUCCCGGCUUAACUGGGAGGGGUCAUUGGAAACUGCAGUGCUUGAGGCGGUGAGAGGGGUGUAGAAUUCCCGGUGUAGUGGUGGAAUGCGUAGAUAUCGGGAGGAAUACCAGUGGCGAAAGCGACACCCUGGCACUAGCCUGACGCUCAUGUGCGAAGGCGUGGGGAGCGAACGGG